GAUGAACGCUGGCGGCGUGCUUAACACAUGCAAGUCGAACGGGAUCCAUCAGGCUUUGCUUGGUGGUGAGAGUGGCGAACGGGUGAGUAAUGCGUGACCGACCUGCCCCAUACACCGGAAUAGCUCCUGGAAACGGGUGGUAAUGCCGGAUGCUCCGACUCCUCGCAUGGGGUGUCGGGAAAGAUUUCAUCGGUAUGGGAUGGGGUCGCGUCCUAUCAGGUAGUCGGCGGGGUAACGGCCCACCGAGCCUACGACGGGUAGCCGGCCUGAGAGGGCGACCGGCCACAUUGGGACUGAGAUACGGCCCAGACUCCUACGGGAGGCAGCAGUGGGGAAUAUUGCACAAUGGGCGCAAGCCUGAUGCAGCGACGCCGCGUGCGGGAUGACGGCCUUCGGGUUGUAAACCGCUUUUGAUCGGGAGCAAGCCUUCGGGUGAGUGUACCUUUCGAAUAAGCACCGGCUAACU
Molecule: ribosomal RNA, 466 nt
Filed under: uncultured bacterium
Lineage: Bacteria
Description: bacterial SSU rRNA
Rfam family: Bacterial small subunit ribosomal RNA
Source: RNAcentral